Molecule: ribosomal RNA, 253 nt
Filed under: uncultured bacterium
Lineage: Bacteria
Description: partial 16S ribosomal RNA
Rfam family: Bacterial small subunit ribosomal RNA
Source: RNAcentral
UACGGGGGGAGCAAGCGUUGUUCGGAUUCAUUGGGCGUAAAGGGCGCGUAGGCGGCUUGGCAAGUCCGUCAUGAAAUGUACCGGUUCAACCGGGGCACUGUGUCGGAAACUGCCUGGCUUGAGGUCGAGGGAGGAGAGUGGAAUUCCUGGUGUAGCGGUGAAAUGCGUAGAUAUCUGGAGGAACACCGGUGGCGAAGGCGGCAUCCUGGACCAUUACUGACACUGAAAAGCGAAAGCCAGGGGAGCAAACGGG